GAAAUGCGAUAAGUAAUGUGAAUUGCAGAAUUCAGUGAAUCAUCGAAUCUUUGAACGCACCUUGCGCUCCUUGGUAUUCCUUGGAGCAUGCCUGUUUGAGUAUCAUGAAAUCUUCAAAGUAAAUCUUUUGUUAACUCACUUGGUUUCUACUUUGGUAUUGGAGGUCUUUGCAGCUUCACACCUGCUCCUCUUUGUUCAUUAGCUGGAUCUCAGUGUUAUGCUUGGUUCCACUCGGCGUGAUAAGUUAUCUAUCGCUGAGGACACUGUAAAAGGUGGCCAAGGUCAAUGCAGAUGAACCGCUUCUAAUAGUCCAUUGACUUGGACAAUACUUUUAUGAUCUGAUCUCAAAUCAGGUAGGACUACCCGCUGAACUUAAGC
Molecule: unclassified non-coding RNA, 378 nt
Filed under: plant metagenome
Description: partial contains 5.8S ribosomal RNA, internal transcribed spacer 2, and large subunit ribosomal RNA
Rfam family: 5.8S ribosomal RNA (bases 1-105)
Source: RNAcentral